Molecule: long non-coding RNA, 506 nt
Filed under: Fukomys damarensis (Damara mole-rat)
Lineage: Eukaryota; Metazoa; Chordata; Mammalia; Rodentia; Bathyergidae
Description: lncRNA (ENSFDAG00000027976.1)
Source: RNAcentral
GCAGACAGGCCGACAGACAGACAGACCUUUGCAUGCUGGGCCCUCCGCGCUCCAGCUCUACCCCUGCUGAUGCUGGAGGACGCUGCCUGGGGAGGCAGCAGGUGACCUCUGGGCCCCUCCCUGUCCCUGGCUGCAGUGCCUCUGAGUAUCCGCCCGCAGGAGGCUGCCGGCCCUCAGCUCCUUCAAGUUCAUCCACAGCAGAAGCAGUGACCAAGGCAGGCCCUGGAAGCCCGGCCACUGGGCUCAAGACCUCUCCACAUUCCCAGUCUGCAGGUGACAAGGACAUCCUGGGCUUCUGCUCCUCCGACCAUGGCUCCCCUUCUAGACAGAGCAGGCAAGGAUGCUGCGUUUCCCAGGACAAAGUGAUGUCAUCUAAGUCUGCCUUGAAAGCAUCACAAACACUCACCUCUCUUCCUAAUACUCUGGAGGUUCUGCAGGGAAAAGCCCAGAAGGGAGUCAUCCUCCACCCUUGAGAACCCAAUAAAGUCAGCUCAAGCAACCAGCAG